AACUGAUACUACCUGCGGGAACCUGCGGAGGGAUCAUUACUGAAGUGAUUUGGGGAUGUUGCUGGCCCUCUCUCAAGGGGGGGCACUGUGCACUCCUCGAAACAAUUCACAAUUUCCAUCACACCCCUUGUGCACACCUUGUAGGCACCCAAACCCACCUCCGGGUGGUGGGGCCCUAUGUAUUCCUUCAUCUCACACUCUGUUGAAUGGUGCCAUGGGACGCAUCUAAAGGAUUAUUUG
RNAcentral lists this unclassified non-coding RNA (240 nucleotides) under soil metagenome. Its description in RNAcentral is "partial contains 5.8S ribosomal RNA, internal transcribed spacer 2, and large subunit ribosomal RNA". The record is from RNAcentral.